UGCUAUACUCCUAUAAAUAUUAUUGGUUUUGUUCUGGGACAGAGUAGAGUCAUUUGGAAACAUUAUGAUACUUUCAGGUUUUACUUUUAAGCUUAUCAGUUAGAAAAAGUAAAACAUGAUAUUAGGGUUAAUUUUUCUCUACCUCUGAGGCAAGGCCCUUCAUUACCUAAGGUCCUGUGCAUUAUAAGAAAUUUUACUCAGGCUGGUGACAACACAAACUAUUCCUGGCCCUGUAUGACCUGUACAGGUUGUUUGUUCUAAUCCUAUGGAUAAGUCUUUCCCUCAUUUUAGAAUGUUGCUUCACAUUAAUGUGUUGACCAGUACUUAGCUGAAUACUUGAGUGCCUCUUGUCUUAGUCCAUUUGUGUUGCUGUAAAGAAAUGCUUCAGGCUAGGUAAUUUACUAAGAGCAAGGUUUAUUUGGUUUACAAUUCUGCAGGCAGUACAAGAAUCAUGGCACUAGCAUUGGCUUCUGGGAAACGCUUCAGGCUGCUUUAGUUCAUUGAAUAAGGUGAAGAGGGAAGCCAGCUUGUGCAGAGAUCACAGAGUGAGAGAGGAAGCAAGAGACAGGAAAAGUACUAGGCUCUUUCUAACAGUUCUCGUGGGAACUAAUAUAGAAUGAGAACUCAUUCAUUACCAUGAGAACAGCACCAAGCCAUGCAUGAAGGAUCCACCCUCAUAACCCAAUACCUCCCACUAGGUACCACCUCCAACAUUAGGAAUCAAAUUUCAACAUGAGGUUUAGACAGAUCAGAUAUCCAAACCAUAGCUGCUUCAUUAGCAGAUCCUCAGAGUUCUCUCUUGUGUAGCUCUCACCUCUCAGAAACUCUGUCCUGCAAUUUUUAGUCAUCUAGUUUCCCUGGACUUCCAGCCCUAUCUCCUCAACUCGAGAAGUCUAUUAAGCUCUUUCUGGGUUCUCACAGUUUGUGUCAUAGCUUGGAAACUCUCCCAGCAACGUGCAGGAACAAUCAAGGGCUUAUGUAAUUUGAUUCCCAUAUGUCAGAGAUUGUUCUUCCUUCUAGGUUGAUCCCCAGCUUCUUGGGAACUGUUGUUUCAUAAAUUAUGUCUAUAGCUGUUUCUGAUAGAAGAGUAAAUCUAAUUAUAAUUACUCCAUCUUGGUUAAAAGGGGAAGUACCCAGAUCACAGUAUUUUUCAUAAGAUUUAUGGAUCCAAGCCACUUGUAUCAAGAAUAUCAACAGAGUAUUUGUUUGAUUUGCUGGUAAGUUUCUAUGUUUAACAUCAAUUUGUUAAAAUAUCUUUUGUGAAUCUACUAGUCACUACAACUGAUGUUUUCACAGUUUAACUUUUUUCUUUCUCCUUCCUUCCUUCCUCCCUCCCUCCCUCCCAUCCUUUUCUUUCUUUCCUGCCCUCUCCUUCCUUCUUUCCUUCCUUCCUUUCUUUCUUUCUCUUUUCUUUCUUUCUCUUUCUUUCUUUCUCUUUCUUUCUUGCUUUCUUUCUCUUUCUUUCUUGCUUUCUUUCUUUCUCUCUCUUUCUCAUUUCUUCCUUUUUCCUUCCUUCCUUCUUUCUUUCCUUUCUUCUUCCCUUUCAUAAAGCUUAAACAAAUACCUUUCGUAUUCUAGGAAAGUAAAGACAUUGGCCAGGCAGGUGUACAAUUUAGAGAUGAUAGGGAGAUAUGAUGUGAGGAAUUUAGAUUGUUAGCAGCCUAGGGAAACAGAAAAGACGCACUCCUUGUGGCACAGUUUGAGUCACAGACUUAAAAUCAGUAGAUUCACAGAACUUGGAACUUGACUUACAAUUUUAAAAAAUCCAUAGUACAAUGAAGAACCUUUAAGGGGAUGUAUCAUCAUAGUUGUCUCAUUUUUGGAGUCCCGACUUCCUAUAGAGUGCAGAUGGAAUUCAAAAAGAGAAGUUUACUAAAUUGAUUUUGAUCUAUGUUGGGAAAUCUUUUCAAAUUUAAAAUCUCUUCAGAGUUGUGACUUUCCUACUCUUUAUUAAAAUAGUACCUUGAAAGAUAGCAAAGGAAUGAACAACUCACCCUUGGCUCUUUUUUCUUGGGAAGGCUGGAAGAAGUUCCUAGUCCUUCUCCCUGCCUUUUGUAUCACACCAUCUCAAAGUACUUCUUUCUCUAACAUUGUGCCCACUACCUACCAAUAUUGCACACCAGGCAGUUGUCAGGCCGUGCAUUCAAACGCAGUGGGAGGAAAUACCUGGAAAUGAUGUGUAGUGAGGCCCAGUGUCUC
Molecule: long non-coding RNA, 2199 nt
Filed under: Homo sapiens (human)
Lineage: Eukaryota; Metazoa; Chordata; Mammalia; Primates; Hominidae
Description: non-protein coding lnc-PIK3C3-15:1
Source: RNAcentral